UAUUUGAUAGUCCCUUACUACUUGGAUAACCGUAGUAAUUCUAGAGCUAAUACAUGCGUCAAUGCCCUUUUGGGGUAGUAUUUAUUAGAUAGAAGCCAACCCCUUCGGGGUGAUGUGGUGAUUCAUGAUAAGCAUGCGGAUUGCACGGCUUUGUCGGCAAUGGAUCAUUCAAGUUUCUUCCCUAUCAGCUUUGGACGGUAAGGUAUUGGCUUACCGUGGCUUUAACGGGUAACGGAAAAUUAGGGUUUGAUUCCGGAGAGGGAGCCUGAGAGAUGGCUACCACAUCCAAGGAAGGCAGCAGGCGCGUAAAUUACCCCAAUCUAGAAACUAGGAGGUAGUGACCAAUAAAUAACAAUGCCGGGCCUUGGUAGGUCUGGCAAUUGGAAUGGAGAACAAUUUAAAUCCCUUUAUCGANGGAUCAAUUGGAAGG
RNAcentral lists this ribosomal RNA (430 nucleotides) under uncultured eukaryote. Its description in RNAcentral is "SSU rRNA". It matches the Rfam family "Eukaryotic small subunit ribosomal RNA", at positions 118 to 555 of the family's 1831-position model. The record is from RNAcentral.